This 484-nucleotide ribosomal RNA is filed under the name uncultured bacterium. RNAcentral describes it as "partial 16S ribosomal RNA". It matches the Rfam family "Bacterial small subunit ribosomal RNA", at positions 29 to 507 of the family's 1533-position model. The record is from RNAcentral.
AUUGAACGCUGGCGGAAGGCUUUACACAUGCAAGUCGAACGGCAGCACGGGGGCAACCCUGGUGGCGAGUGGCGAACGGGUGAGUAAUACAUCGGAACGUGCCCGGUCGUGGGGGAUAACGUAGCGAAAGGUACGCUAAUACCGCAUACGAUCUGAGGGUGAAAGCGGGGGACCUUCGGGCCUCGCGCGAUCGGAGCGGCCGAUGUCAGAUUAGGUAGUUGGUGGGGUAAAGGCCUACCAAGCCGACGAUCUGUAGCUGGUCUGAGAGGACGACCAGCCACACUGGGACUGAGACACGGCCCAGACUCCUACGGGAGGCAGCAGUGGGGAAUUUUGGACAAUGGGCGCAAGCCUGAUCCAGCCAUUCCGCGUGCAGGACGAAGGCCUUCGGGUUGUAAAGUGCUUUUGUAUGGAACGAAAAGGAUCUGGCUAAUACCUGGGGCUCAUGACGGUACCGUAAGAAUAAGCACCGGCUAACCACGUG